CAGCAGUAGCCGCGGGAAUACAGAGGGUGCGAGCGUUAAUCGGAUUUACUGGGCGUAAAGCGUGCGUAGGCGGCUUUUUAAGUCGGAUGUGAAAUCCCUGAGCUUAACUUAGGAAUUGCAUUCGAUACUGGGAAGCUAGAGUAUGGGAGAGGAUGGUAGAAUUCCAGGUGUAGCGGUGAAAUGCGUAGAGAUCUGGAGGAAUACCGAUGGCGAAGGCAGCCAUCUGGCCUAAUACUGACGCUGAGGUACGAAAGCAUGGGGAGCAAACAGGAUUAGAUACCCCCGUAGUCCCUGUCUCUUAUAC
RNAcentral lists this ribosomal RNA (304 nucleotides) under uncultured bacterium. Its description in RNAcentral is "partial 16S ribosomal RNA". It matches the Rfam family "Bacterial small subunit ribosomal RNA", at positions 506 to 807 of the family's 1533-position model. The record is from RNAcentral.